Long non-coding RNA from Oncorhynchus keta (chum salmon), 642 nucleotides. RefSeq lists it as uncharacterized. The transcript is spliced from 3 exons. The record is from RefSeq and is a predicted model, not a curated record. NCBI's taxonomy places the organism in Eukaryota, Metazoa, Chordata, Actinopteri, Salmoniformes, Salmonidae.
GAAAGAGGCCUAAUAAAUAACUACUGGGGAGAGGUGUUGGAGGAACACCAGGGUCUGCCCCACUCCCACUGCCAUUCAGCACCACAGCAGGGGAAAGAGGCCUAAUAAAUAACAACUGGGGAGAGGUGUUGGAGGAACACCAGGGUCUGGCCCACUCCCACUGCCAUUCAGCACCACAGCAAGGGAAAGAGGCCUAAUAAAUAACUACUGGGGAGAGGUGUUGGAGGAACACCAGGGUCUGGCCCACUCCCACUGCCAUUCAGCACCACAGCAAGGGAAAGAGGCCUAAUAAAUAACUACUGGGGAGAGGUGUUGGAGGAACACCAGGGUCUGGCCCACUCCCACUGCCAUUCAGCACCACAGCAAGGGAAAGAGGCCUAAUAAAUAACUACUGGGGAGAGGUGUUGGAGGAACACCAGGGUCUGGCCCACUCCCACUGCCAUUCAGCACCACAGCAAGGGAAAGAGGCCUAAUAAAUAACUACUGGGGAGAGGUGUUGGAGGAACACCAGGGUCUGCCCCACUCCCACUGCCAUUCAGCACCACAGCAGGGGAAAGAGGCCUAAUAAAUAACUACUGGGGAGAGGUGUUGGAGGAACACCAGGGUCUGGCCCACUCCCACUGCCAUUCAGCACCACAGCAG